Molecule: long non-coding RNA, 1637 nt
Organism: Pteronotus mesoamericanus
Lineage: Eukaryota; Metazoa; Chordata; Mammalia; Chiroptera; Mormoopidae
Exons: 3
Source: RefSeq, a predicted model, not a curated record
GACAGGACGCCAGGCAACAGCGCACUACUGAUCCCCUCCGUGUCUCAUCGCCUUGGACCCCUGGCUGCAAAGGAGGUCUUGGGUACUGGGAGGGCAGAGGGAACGCAACUCUUUUGGCGGUCCAGCCGGCCUCGGACUUCCGGCCCGCACGACUUCUGUGCGCCGCGGAGGCCCCGCGCCCCCAGAGGAAGGGGAGACAAAAUUCGCUACAGGAGCCCGUGGUCCCGCAGAGCAGAGUGAAAUAGGCAAUUAAGGUGCUGGCAACGAGGAGCUCUGCGAAGAACGCAGGAAGGAGGGUACAGGGUGCAAGCGGCUCAGAGCCGCUGGGGACGAGCCUUUGGAGUUCAACACACCAUCCGAGGAAUCGAGCAGCAGUUCCCUACCGGUGCAGCGCCAGUGGGAGGCGUAAAUUUGAAAGUUGUCAGCCAAUCGCUGGUGUCAAGGCCACGAAACCUGGUGAGCUCACCAAGAAAGUGCGUGUAAAGGACAGGGACUGAGCCCUAGGACACUCGGAGACUUUGAGAAAGGAGAGGAAGCAUUAUGGAAGGCUGGGAAAGAGUGCCCAGUGAGGAGGAACGACACAGGGCAGCGUGCUGUUGCGGAGGCCGCGUGGAGGAGUGUGGACACGGAAGGUCCAGUGCUGCAGAGAGGGAGGAAGUUGAGGACCCGGUGGAGCAGGGCUCUGCGGAGGAGGGAGGACAAGCGAGAUGGUGGCAGCACCUGUGAAUGUCCUUUGGGAGGAGGUCUCCUGUAAAGGGAACCAGCAAAAUGGAAUGCCAACUGCAGGAGACCGUAAGACUAAGGAAGGAUUCAGGACAGAGGAGAAAGGAUUUUGCAGAUGUCUAUUAAGGGACCAUGAGGACAAGGUUACCCUUCCUGCUUUGUGAGGCUGAGUGGAAGGAGCAGGCAGAUCAGUUAGGAGGAGCUGACAACAGACCAGAAGAAAGAUGAUGGUGGUCUGGUAGUCUAAAAGAAGUGGUCUGGAGGAUAGAUCCAAGAUGGCAGAGGACUGAGUAGAAGCUACACUAACCUCCUCCCAGGACCAAUUGGGAAUUAUAAAUAAAUUGCAGAGAAAUCAUCCAGAAUAAACAACUGAACAGUAUCAGGAGAGAAGCUUUAUAACUAUGGACGGACAGAAGAAACAGCUUCACCACAACAUGACUGGCACAGAGGAAUGUGAGAGGGCUGGCUGGGCUCCCACAGGCAGCAGCUGAAGUGCUGGAGGAAUAUUUCAGCGGCCAGGAGGACCCCAAUGAGGAGUGUGGGGUCUAAACCCCAAGCUGGGAAAAAGACUACAGCACCAGAGCCUGAAAAGUACUCGUAUAAAGUCCAUCUGAGAAAAGUGGUAGGGUUUCUCUCUGCCAGAGACAGACAGCUAGAGAUGCAGAGAGCCUUUUAAGGAGACAACACAUAAAUUUUCAUUUGCAGCCACUUACCCUGGGCUCUGGCAAAGGGAAGGCAGAGUGGACUAGAGACACCUGAGGAGAGACUGGGGCCGGUGGCUUCAGGGAGAGAACUGAGAGAGCAGCCACCAGGAUCCCUGUGCUGAGUCACCCUUCACACUGUAGCAGCCACCUCUCUCAGGCACACCACCCCGCCACUGAGUGGCAUUAGUCUGAGGGGAAGCAAUAGCCCCA